UUAUCAUUUAGAGGAAGGAGAAGUCGUAACAAGGUUUCCGUAGGUGAACCUGCGGAAGGAUCAUUGUCGAAUCGUGCCCGACCGGAACGACCCGAGUACCUACGUUAUCUCGUCCGAGGGGAGAGGAGGGGCAUCCGUCCAGUAAUCCCCCCUCUUCGGGUGGCGCACUCGUCGCCUCCCCGCGCAUUGCGCUCGAGGACGAAGGGACGUUCCUGCGCCGCCCGAUCGAACAACCAAACCGGCGUGAUUGACGCCAAGGAACGUAAACGGAAAGAGCUUGCUCUCCGGGACGCCUCGUGUACAGAACGAUCGUGUCCCGGGUUGCAACGGCAUCUCCGAUCUAUGAACGACUCUCGGCAACGGAUAUCUCGGCUCUUGCAUCGAUGAAGAACGUAGCGAAAUGCGAUACUUGGUGUGAAUUGCAGAAUCCCGUGAACCAUCGAGUCUUUGAACGCAAGUUGCGCCCCAGGCCAUUAGGCUGAGGGCACGUCUGCCUGGGCGUCACGCACAGCGUGCCUCACCCCUCCCGCCCUCACUGGCACGGGACGGGAGUUUACGAGGGAAUAAUGGCCCCCCGCGUGUCCCGGCACGCGGUCGGCCCGAAUAUCGGCCCUCGACGGCGAGCAUCGCGGAAAUUGGUGGUCGACGAGUCCACUCUCCGAAGCCGGAUGCCGCGAUCGCGACGCCGCCCUUGCGGCCCGGCCACCCCGAAACGCCGCCUCGACGGCGUUCGCACAGCGACCCCAGGUCAGGCGGGACUACCCGCUGAGUUUAAGCAUAUC
RNAcentral lists this unclassified non-coding RNA (782 nucleotides) under Sarcococca ruscifolia. Its description in RNAcentral is "partial contains small subunit ribosomal RNA, internal transcribed spacer 1, 5.8S ribosomal RNA, internal transcribed spacer 2, and large subunit ribosomal RNA". The stretch from base 349 to 504 matches the Rfam family "5.8S ribosomal RNA". Lineage: Eukaryota; Viridiplantae; Streptophyta; Magnoliopsida; Buxales; Buxaceae. The record is from RNAcentral.